GUAAAACAGAUAAAGUUCUAAUGCAAAAGGGUAGAUAAAAGUUGGCUCUAGACAGAGCCUAACAGAGGUUUAUUUUAUAGUUAAAUCCCAAAAGGAAGGGGUAUUAUUGCCUUAUUUAUCUUCUGAUUUCUCAGUAUUAGGACUAGGCAUACAGUAGAAGCUACAUAAAUAACAGUUUGUUACAUUAGUCAACUGAUGGUAUGUGCUCCUUUAUUUAAACUACAAAAAUUAAGGACAUAAAUUUUGGGAAUAACAUUAAGUACAAGCAGCUCCCCCAAGUCCUAGCUCUGUUAAAUUAUAUUUUGUUCUGUAGUAAUACUUUUUC
Sapajus apella (tufted capuchin) is the source of this 325-nucleotide long non-coding RNA. RefSeq lists it as uncharacterized. NCBI's taxonomy places the organism in Eukaryota, Metazoa, Chordata, Mammalia, Primates, Cebidae. The record is from RefSeq and is a predicted model, not a curated record. The transcript has 3 exons.